RNAcentral lists this long non-coding RNA (217 nucleotides) under Solanum tuberosum (potato). Its description in RNAcentral is "long non-coding RNA (STUB_LNC001986)". The record is from RNAcentral. Lineage: Eukaryota; Viridiplantae; Streptophyta; Magnoliopsida; Solanales; Solanaceae.
UCGAUCUCCAACCACCAUCCUUCAAAUUUGAAAUAUGAUUUUGUAUGACUCCAACGACCACUUUUAAGUGCAAUUGGUGCAUGAUCGGAACAAACUCUAGGUAGUAGUUCUUGCUUCACAUUGCAGAAACUCUCCCCCCAUUCAGAGGAGUACAUAAUUCUGUCUAUCCUCGAAACAGCUUCCAGGUUGGAUCCCCUGGCCCACGUGUAGUUCCCCC